CACAAGUGAACAACAACAGCCUGGUACCCUUUAAAAUUACUUUUUUUCAUCUGCAGAAGAGUAUAUACGUUCUUGAAUUAAGACUUGUGGAGUAAUGGAUGGGAACUACCUUCUCUAAGAACAAAUAUUGGAUAUUUUCCUGUUUCUAUGAAAUUCUUCUAUCUAACCACGAUCAAUUUAAACAUCAAAGCACACUUACAAACUGAAUUCUGUUCUUUCCAAAUGACAAUAACAUUUGCAUAGAUUACAGACAUGAGAAAAUUUGUUCAACCUCUGAUACUUAACCAGGGAGGACUGGAGUAGAAGAAAAGUAUUACCAAAAAAACGUAAGUAGGAGAUUUUCAUAAGAAAAUGAUCAGUUAGCAACAGUGUAUAUUCAACGCCAUCUUACUUCUUCUGGUGUUCCAACCAAGCUAACUCAGCCUUUGUCUUCUCCUUCAGAGCCUUCUCCCGGAGCCGAAGUAGUGAGGACUGAUGAGCUGCUCGCAUUUCCUCCUCCUUCAUGUACUGUCUUACCAUCUCCAUAGUAAAUUUAGAGAAACUAUCUUGCCCUCCUGAGAAAGGCAUGCUUAGCUCCUUGAUAGAUGACAGAGCGGUUUUUUCUGGGGAGACUUCCUCAUCAGAAUCAUCACGAGUACCGCGCUUCUUCUCCAAGUUAAUUCUACGAUGACUUUCAGAGGGUAGCAAAGACCGAAAG
This 697-nucleotide long non-coding RNA is filed under the name Gallus gallus (chicken). Lineage: Eukaryota; Metazoa; Chordata; Aves; Galliformes; Phasianidae. The record is from RNAcentral.